UAGCAUAUCAAUAAGCGGAGGAAAAGAAACCAACAGGGAUUGCCUUAGUAACUGCGAGUGAAGCGGCAAAAGCUCAAAUUUGAAAUCUGGCAUCUUUGGUGUCCGAGUUGUAAUUUGGAGAGACAUCUUCGGUUUGAACGCCGUUCGAAGUUCCUUGGAACAGGACGUCACAGAGGGUGAGAAUCCCGUAUGUGGAUGGCUGUUUCAUUCCAUGUGAAGUGUCUUCGACGAGUCGAGUUGUUUGGGAAUGCAGCUCAAAAUGGGUGGUAAAUGUCAUCUAAAGCUAAAUACUGGCGAGAGACCGAUAGCGCACAAGUAGAGUGAUCGAAAGAUGAAAAGCACUUUGAAAAGAGAGUUAAAAAGUACGUGAAAUUGUUGAAAGGGAAGCGCUUAAGACCAGACUCAAUCUGUGGUGAUCAAUGGUGCUUCUGUACCAUGUACUUGCCACUCUUUGGGACAGCAUCGGUUUGGAUGGUCGGAUAAAGACUUGGGGAAUGUAGCUCUCUUCGGGGAGUGUUAUAGUCUCAGGUGUAAUGCGAUCAAUCCAGACCGAGGACCGCGCUUCGGCUAGGAUGCUGUCAUAAUGGUCUUUAGCGACCCGUCUUGAAACACGGACCAAGGAGUCUAACAACUAUGCGAGUGUUCGGGUGGAAAACCCUUGCGCGUAAUGAAAGUGAACGGAGAUGGGAACCUUUUAGGGGCACCAUCGACCGAUCCUGAUGUCUUCGGAUGGAUUUGAGUACGAGCAUAGCUGUUGGGACCCGAAAGAUGGUGAACUAUGCCUGAAUAGGGUGAAGCCAGAGGAAACUCUGGUGGAGGCUCGCAGCGGUUCUGACGUGCAAA
RNAcentral lists this ribosomal RNA (843 nucleotides) under Pulvinula constellatio. Its description in RNAcentral is "eukaryotic LSU rRNA". It matches the Rfam family "Eukaryotic large subunit ribosomal RNA", at positions 36 to 897 of the family's 3401-position model. The record is from RNAcentral. Lineage: Eukaryota; Fungi; Ascomycota; Pezizomycetes; Pezizales; Pulvinulaceae.